CCCAAAGUGGUGUAGUGGCAGCACGCUCAUGCUACACGCGGUUAUCUUAGGAAGCCGUGCCUUCAGGGGUGGGAAAUUCAGGUUCAAUUCUUGACUUUGGGA
This is a non-coding RNA of Nemania sp. FL0031, 102 nucleotides long. Lineage: Eukaryota; Fungi; Ascomycota; Sordariomycetes; Xylariales; Xylariaceae. The record is from the annotation of a GenBank genome assembly.